Molecule: transfer RNA, 110 nt
Filed under: Euroglyphus maynei
Lineage: Eukaryota; Metazoa; Arthropoda; Arachnida; Sarcoptiformes; Pyroglyphidae
Rfam family: tRNA
About the family: Transfer RNA (tRNA) molecules are approximately 80 nucleotides in length.
Source: Rfam by way of RNAcentral
GCCAAGAUGGUCGAGUGGUCUAAGACGUCAGACUUAAGAUUUCCGGUUACGAAAUUUGUAGGUUAUCUGAUCCUCUAAGGAGGGCGUGGGUUCAAACCCCACUCUUGGCA